AGAGUAGGCGCAGGCGGUUGCAGAUCAGUCAUAGUCACUGGUUUGAGGAAAGUCCGGACUCCCGAAAGGCCAAACUUGCUGGAUAACGUCCAGUGCGAGCGAUCGUGAGGAUAGUGCCACAGAAAGAUACCGCCAAAACAAUUUUAGAUUUUAGAUUUUAAAUUUUGGAUUGAAUCCAAAAUCCAAAAUCCAAAAUUGUUUGGUAAGGGUGCAAAGGUGCGGUAAGAGCGCACCAGCAGCAUCGAGAGGUGCUGGCUCGGUAAACCCCGGUUGGGAGCAAGGCGAUAGGAACUAUGGUUGGUCUUUUACCAGUUCCGCUCAAUGAGAGCCGCUAGAGGCGUUUGGUAACAGGCGUCCCAGAUAGAUAACUGCCCUCGCAAGAGAACAGAACCCGGCUUAUGUCCUGCUCUUUCC
Molecule: RNase P RNA, 414 nt
Filed under: Desmonostoc geniculatum HA4340-LM1
Lineage: Bacteria; Bacillati; Cyanobacteriota; Cyanophyceae; Nostocales; Nostocaceae
Description: RNase P RNA component class A
Rfam family: Bacterial RNase P class A
About the family: Ribonuclease P (RNase P) is a ubiquitous endoribonuclease, found in archaea, bacteria and eukarya as well as chloroplasts and mitochondria. Its best characterised activity is the generation of mature 5'-ends of tRNAs by cleaving the 5'-leader elements of precursor-tRNAs.
Source: RNAcentral